GAUGAACGCUGGCGGCGUGCCUAAUACAUGCAAGUCGAGCGAACAGACGAGGAGCUUGCUCCUCUGACGUUAGCGGCGGACGGGUGAGUAACACGUGGAUAACCUACCUAUAAGACUGGGAUAACUUCGGGAAACCGGAGCUAAUACCGGAUAAUAUAUUGAACCGCAUGGUUCAAUAGUGAAAGACGGUUUUGCUGUCACUUAUAGAUGGAUCCGCGCCGCAUUAGCUAGUUGGUAAGGUAACGGCUUACCAAGGCAACGAUGCGUAGCCGACCUGAGAGGGUGAUCGGCCACACUGGAACUGAGACACGGUCCAGACCCCUAGGGGGGGCAGCAGUAGGGAAUCUUCCGAAAUGGGCGAAAGCCUGACGGGGCAACGCCGGGGGGGUGAUGAAGGUCUUCGGAUCGUAAAACUUUUUUAUUAGGGAAAAAAAAAUGUGUAAGUAACUAUGCACGUUUUGACGGUACCUAAUAAGAAAGCCACGGCUAACUACGU
Molecule: ribosomal RNA, 496 nt
Filed under: uncultured bacterium
Lineage: Bacteria
Description: partial 16S ribosomal RNA
Rfam family: Bacterial small subunit ribosomal RNA
Source: RNAcentral